GUUCCAGUAGUGCAAUGGAUAGCGCUUUGAACUUCUAAUCCAAAGGUCGUGGGUUUGAAUCCCACCUGGGAAUG
This 74-nucleotide transfer RNA is filed under the name Trichonephila clavata. RNAcentral's name for it is "tRNA-Arg". It matches the Rfam family "tRNA". From Rfam's summary of the family: Transfer RNA (tRNA) molecules are approximately 80 nucleotides in length. Their secondary structure includes four short double-helical elements and three loops (D, anti-codon, and T loops). Further hydrogen bonds mediate the characteristic L-shaped molecular structure. tRNAs have two regions of fundamental functional importance: the anti-codon, which is responsible for specific mRNA codon recognition, and the 3' end, to which the tRNAs corresponding amino acid is attached (by aminoacyl-tRNA synthetases). tRNAs cope with the degeneracy of the genetic code in two manners: having more than one tRNA (with a specific anti-codon) for a particular amino acid; and 'wobble' base-pairing, i.e. permitting non-standard base-pairing at the 3rd anti-codon position. The record is from RNAcentral. Lineage: Eukaryota; Metazoa; Arthropoda; Arachnida; Araneae; Nephilidae.